GUGCCAGCAGCCGCGGUAAGACGAACCGUGCGAACGUUGUUCGGAAUCACUGGGCUUAAAGGGCGCGUAGGCGGAUCAUCAAGUCCGGGGUGAAAUCUUUCGGCUCAACCGGAAAAGUGCCUCGGAUACUGGUGGUCUUGAGUGAGGUAGGGGCAUGUGGAACUUCCGGUGGAGCGGUGAAAUGCGUUGAUAUCGGAAGGAACUCCGGUGGCGAAGGCGACGUGCUGGACCUCUUCUGACGCUGAGGCGCGAAAGCUAGGGGAGCGAACGGGAUUAGAUACCCGUGUAGUCC
This 292-nucleotide ribosomal RNA is filed under the name uncultured bacterium. RNAcentral's name for it is "partial 16S ribosomal RNA". It matches the Rfam family "Bacterial small subunit ribosomal RNA", at positions 505 to 796 of the family's 1533-position model. The record is from RNAcentral.